AUUGAACGCUGGCGGCAUGCCUUACACAUGCAAGUCGAACGGUAACAGGUUAAGCUGACGAGUGGCGAACGGGUGAGUAAUACAUCGGAACGUGCCCAGUAGUGGGGGAUAGCCCGGCGAAAGCCGGAUUAAUACCGCAUACGACCUAAGGGUGAAAGGGGUGGAUCGCAAGACCUCUCGCUAUUGGAGCGGCCGAUGUCAGAUUAGCUAGUUGGUGGGGUAAAAGCUCACCAAGGCGACGAUCUGUAGCUGGUCUGAGAGGACGACCAGCCACACUGGGACUGAGACACGGCCCAGACUCCUACGGGAGGCAGCAGUGGGGAAUUUUGGACAAUGGGCGCAAGCCUGAUCCAGCCAUGCCGCGUGCGGGAAGAAGGCCUUCGGGUUGUAAACCGCUUUUGUCAGGGAAGAAAUCCUUUGGGUUAAUACCUCGGGGGGAUGACGGUACCUGAAGAAUAAGCACCGGCUAACUACGUG
Molecule: ribosomal RNA, 477 nt
Filed under: uncultured bacterium
Lineage: Bacteria
Description: partial 16S ribosomal RNA
Rfam family: Bacterial small subunit ribosomal RNA
Source: RNAcentral